UACGUAGGGUGCGAGCGUUGUCCGGAAUUAUUGGGCGUAAAGAGCUCGUAGGUGGUUUGUCGCGUUGUUCGUGAAAACUCACAGCUCAACUGUGGGCGUGCGGGCGAUACGGGCAGACUAGAGUACUGCAGGGGAGACUGGAAUUCCUGGUGUAGCGGUGAAAUGCGCAGAUAUCAGGAGGAACACCGGUGGCGAAGGCGGGUCUCUGGGCCGAUACUGACGC
Molecule: ribosomal RNA, 223 nt
Filed under: uncultured bacterium
Lineage: Bacteria
Description: partial 16S ribosomal RNA
Rfam family: Bacterial small subunit ribosomal RNA
Source: RNAcentral